CUCCCAUAGACUGUAGCCCAUAUAAAAAAUACGGGCCUUAAAGCAGCGCUAUUUUGACCCUCGUUGCAUCCAGUAAUCUCUGCGGUGUGCGCUCACUUUAGCGCCAGACCGCACCGAGGAAGAACAGAGAGAAGCGGGCAAACACGCAGUAGGGAAAACAAGAUCUCACGGGCCCAGAAGCGGGUCUUAAUUGUAAAAACACCAUCACUUGGGAUUUUUGAAUGCCGCCAUAUGCCGAAGGAGUACUUACUAGUAUUACUUCCCCCUGGAAACUCCGACUACUUUUUGAGACCCUGGAUUGUAGGUCUUCGCUGGAUGUUGAUGGCGAGCUAGUCCCAGAGAUGAUGCAGCCUGUAUGAUGAGAUCGGACCGCAGUGUGGCCAGCUGCUUCGGAUCCCAUUCAACAGGACUGACACAUCAGAUUACAGGACAAUGGCAGAUAAGAAAGAUCCACCACACGUUAAUAAUCCUGCCUGGGUAGAGAUACAAAUAAGUGAAAGACACUGGACACUUUUUAAAAUUGUAUUUUUUAUGAAAGAGCUAUAAGAGUCUAUUUCUUACCCCAACACUACUCCUCUGAACCUAGGUUGGUAAGUUAGCUAAAGUGCUACACUAUUGUUAAAUAUUCUACACCUGUUUUUAGCAUUCAAAAACUAUGCUACAGGGCUUUCCCCAGUACGUUGAACUAUGUGACAACAAGGGGUCUUGACGUGAGGACUUGGGAGUGAGAACGUGUUGGGUUGUAGAUGGUUCAUUUUAUAUCAACAGUUAUGAUGUGUUUUUUAGGAACGAAAGGCUGAAAGGCAUUUUGUAAUAAAAAAUAUGUUUGGUAUCA
Long non-coding RNA from Micropterus dolomieu (smallmouth bass), 835 nucleotides. RefSeq lists it as uncharacterized. The transcript has 2 exons. Lineage: Eukaryota; Metazoa; Chordata; Actinopteri; Centrarchiformes; Centrarchidae. The record is from RefSeq and is a predicted model, not a curated record.